AAAGCUCGGCGUCUUCGGCGUCCGCUUUGUAAUCUCAAGAAGUGUUUUCCGCUUCGGACCAAGCCUAAGUCCCCUGGAAAGGGGCAUCAUAGAGGGUGAUAAUCCCGUACAUGGCUUGGAGCGCCCGAGGCUUUGUGAUACGCUUUCUAAGAGUCGAGUUGUUUGGGAAUGCAGCUCAAAAUGGGUGGUAAAUGCCAUCUAAGGCUAAAUAUUGGGGAGAGACCGAUAGCGAACAAGUACAGUGAUGGAAAGAUGAAAAGAACUUUGAAAAGAGAGUUAAACAGUACGUGAAAUUGCCAAAAGGGAAGGGUAGGAGGUCAGAGAUGCGGCCUGGGAUUCAGCCUUGCUUUUGCUUGGUGUUUUUCCCAGAUUGCAGGCCAACGUCGGUUUUGGGCACUGGAGAAGGGUAGGAGGAACGUGGCACCCCUCGGGGUGUGUUAUAGCCUCCUACUGGAUACAGCGACCGAGACCGAGGACAGCAGCGUACUCGCAAGAGCGGGCCUUCGGGCACCUUUACGCUUAGGGCGUUGGCAUAAUGGCCCUCUACCACCCGUCUGAAACCCCGGGACC
RNAcentral lists this ribosomal RNA (570 nucleotides) under Moesziomyces antarcticus. RNAcentral's name for it is "eukaryotic LSU rRNA". It matches the Rfam family "Eukaryotic large subunit ribosomal RNA", at positions 118 to 664 of the family's 3401-position model. Lineage: Eukaryota; Fungi; Basidiomycota; Ustilaginomycetes; Ustilaginales; Ustilaginaceae. The record is from RNAcentral.